UACGAAGGGUGCAAGCGUUACUCGGAAUUACUGGGCGUAAAGCGUGCGUAGGGGGUUUGUUAAGUCUGAUGUGAAAGCCCUGGGCUCAACCUGGGAAUUGCAUUGGAUACUGGCAGGCUAGAGUGCGGUAGAGGAUGGCGGAAUUCCCGGUGUAGCAGUGAAAUGCGUAGAGAUCGGGAGGAACAUCUGUGGCGAAGGCGGCCAUCUGGACCAGCACUGACACUGAGGCACGAAAGCGUGGGGAGCAAACAGG
RNAcentral lists this ribosomal RNA (253 nucleotides) under uncultured bacterium. Its description in RNAcentral is "partial 16S ribosomal RNA". It matches the Rfam family "Bacterial small subunit ribosomal RNA", at positions 524 to 776 of the family's 1533-position model. The record is from RNAcentral.